UCAAUAUACAUAGUGAUCAAUUACAGAUAGGUGGGAAUAUAUUACAAAUGGUUUAACUCCAAAACUGCAAACUGGAACCAUCCCAACCGAGGACUUGGUUGGUACAUACUAAAAUUGGAGACGUCCAGCUGAGGAGUUGCUCCUACAUACAAGAGGUUUCCCCACUUCAGAUAAAAGUUAGAAAUUACACCUUCCCAAGCCAAAUAACGAAUUCAUAACUCAAAUUAAGUAUCUCUUUGCAGUCCAGUUCAGACCCGUACUUCACAAGCCAACGCAAUAUACCAAGGAGGUAACGCACUUCCUUCGUCUGGGCUGAAACAGACACCUUUUCCGACGUUGGACACACUUCUAAUGAGAUCUUUCGGAUAUAACGAAAAGUUACCUCCAAGUAACCAUAGUCCUACAGUAAUGAGUUCAUGUUGGCCGCUUCGUCGGCUGGGCAGUGAUCAAACUUAUUUUCUGGUACCAGGGUUAUUAGGCCCAUAGGAUAACAUUUUUUAACCAUGUUUCGGGGACAUCCAGUCUACUCCGUUAGGAGAUGGAAAGCUAAUGUUGACAAAAAGAUUGAGAACCAAAAGGUUCAUCUUCUAUCCUUGAUGCUUCAUUUUAUCAAAUUCCUCCCUUCCUACAAGGGAAACCAGCAAGCGAAUGCUAGAAGCAAGCCUCAAUUCAGACUCAUUGAACGGUAGUGUGCAAGCUCAAAAGGCACAAUCUAAAGCUCCCAUUAGCUACAAAAAAGGAUGCCCAUAUCACACACUGAAAGUGAGACAUCAAUCAAAAUAGUCAAGAAAUGGUAAAUGCAUCAUGUUAAUUCUUAAAAGAUAAGAAACUUGACAUGCAUUUUUCUGAUAAAGUUAGGGUGCCUCACAGGAGAGUCCCUGAGUUGGUCUUUUCUUCUUUGUUGCAUAUCAUCAAUGAGCCAAGAAGCAUCAUUGAGUCCCAGUGAAGUAGCAAAAUUCUCAUGUGGGACCUGCAGAAUCGGUAUGAUAGCUCUUUCAGCUUUUACUUCUCCAUGAGUGGCAGUUUUUUACCUUUGCAUAGGCAUCAUCAAGCAUCAGGCCCAUCAUUGCACCAUAACAAAUAUCACAAGCCCAUCAUGUGUCAAAAGUAAAUAAUAUCAUGAUAUUUAACAUGGAAUGCGUAAGAAAUUCAUAGAGUAUCUAAAGAGAAAAAAUGCCCUGAUCAACUCAUUGAAAGAAACCGAGUUUCAGUCACAGCUGGAAGUUUGAGUAUUCGCUGUAAAAAUCCAGUUACUUAACGCCUUGUUUUGAGAGAGAGAGAGAGAGAGAAAUGUACGCACCCAGCUUCAACAUUAUAAGAUGAGAAAGAUAACUUUUAUUAAUUAUGCAAAACAAUUUCACAUAUUAUAUCUUUCUUAAUAUAAAAAUAACUGAAACUAAUAGUUGUACAUCGAUCAAGCAUUAUUAAGAAAUUAUAAUAAAAGAAAACAGCAAGAUGGGCUCAAAUCAACUCUAGUAAUAGGAAAAAUGCGUUGGUGCAAAUAAGCUUAUGAGUUGUCUAAACUAUAGAAAGAUUGUGAAUUGUAAUUUUGCUGAGGAGAAGAGAAAGAGGCUCCAGUCAAAAUUGAUGGGAAAAAAGGGUUUAAAGAGAAUAACAUUGUUAUCUGUUCCCAUUUGGUGGGAACAUUGCCCUAACAUUUUGAUAAUUAUCAAAAACAUAAUCUUUGGACCUAUGGAAGUCAGAACAUUAUUGUAAACAAUCAUCCUGAGCCAAUCAGCAAAAGAUGUAGAACAAUAAUUUAAUUUGAAAUGUUGCAAAAACAUAAUCUUUCCUAAUCUUGCCGAAAGAUUAAUAAGAAAUCGGACUAAAUAAUCCGACAAAUGUUCCCAAGAGGCCCUACCCUUAUUACAUUCUAGUUUAGGGACCUAAGUUAGAUCCAUCAUUUAGAAUUUUCCAUCAUUUAGAAUCAUCUAAGAGAGGGAGGCCAAUGAAGCACCAUCCAUCUUGUAAACAAUUGAUACUAGUUUAGGGACCUAAGUUCCUUUCACGAUUACUGUUUCCUAGACAGUAGAUACUUGGCAUGACAUGAGUACCAAUUAUUCAAGUUCCCCGAGUCUAAAUUUUGUGCACCUUUGUACAAUAUAAAAUUGCCGAGCUAUCAAUAUAUCAAUACAUCAAGAUACGCCUACUACCAGACUAAGAUGACUAGACAAUGAUACUUAUCAGAGAAUUUGCCGUCGGUGUUAUCUUCCAUUUUCGAUUAAACGGUGGUAUCUUACAUUCAUAACAAAAAACAAACAAAGAUAUGACACAUGACUACAAGAGUCCAACAUUUUUAAGCUAAUAUAUAACAGACACUCCAUCAAAUUGUUCUCAGUGCAGACACUUCUCCAUAUCAUUUUUUUGCCCGAUAGAGUCAUCUCAUAUAUAAUCAUCAUCUUAAAAAAUUAUGAUUUGUCUCAUAACUUGACCUUCUUGGGAGCAGCACCAGGUGUGUUUUUUGUUUUCCUAGCAACCAUGCUGAUUCAUGCUCAUGCAAGUAUUCUCAUAGUAUCCGAAGAGAUGUAGAUGGUUUCGAGAAAGGAAAGUAAGAAAAGAGUUGGGAGGCGAUGAUUACCAUCGGAUAUUCCCCUCCAUAUCCUCUCUCCAAGGAUUCGUCUUUUAGGGUUUCUUCGUUUCCAUCGCUUCCGCUCUUUCCAGACGGACACCAGAUUCCUUCCUUUUGACGCCCUUUG
RNAcentral lists this long non-coding RNA (2696 nucleotides) under Phoenix dactylifera (date palm). RNAcentral's name for it is "long non-coding RNA (PDAC_LNC000868)". Lineage: Eukaryota; Viridiplantae; Streptophyta; Magnoliopsida; Arecales; Arecaceae. The record is from RNAcentral.